Molecule: transfer RNA, 83 nt
Filed under: bacterium
Lineage: Bacteria
Also listed under: 2 other names
Description: tRNA-Tyr
Rfam family: tRNA
About the family: Transfer RNA (tRNA) molecules are approximately 80 nucleotides in length.
Source: RNAcentral
CCAGGGGUGCCCGAGUGGCUAAAGGGGACGGGCUGUAAACCCGUUGACGCAAGUCUACGUUGGUUCAAAUCCAACCCCCUGGA